AGAGUUUGAUCCUGGCUCAGGAUGAACGCUGGCGGCGUGCCUAACACAUGCAAGUCGAGCGAUUCUCUUCGGAGAAGAGCGGCGGACGGGUGAGUAACGCGUGGGUAACCUGCCCUGUACACACGGAUAACAUACCGAAAGGUAUGCUAAUACGAGAUAAUAUAUAAUAGUCACAUGGCUUUUAUAUCAAAGCUCCGGCG
RNAcentral lists this ribosomal RNA (200 nucleotides) under uncultured bacterium. RNAcentral describes it as "partial 16S ribosomal RNA". It matches the Rfam family "Bacterial small subunit ribosomal RNA", at positions 8 to 217 of the family's 1533-position model. The record is from RNAcentral.